RNAcentral lists this transfer RNA (70 nucleotides) under Lepilemur mustelinus (weasel lemur). RNAcentral describes it as "tRNA-Val". It matches the Rfam family "tRNA". From Rfam's summary of the family: Transfer RNA (tRNA) molecules are approximately 80 nucleotides in length. RNAcentral also lists the same sequence under 2 other names. Lineage: Eukaryota; Metazoa; Chordata; Mammalia; Primates; Lepilemuridae. The record is from RNAcentral.
CAAAGUGUAGCUUAAGCCUAAAGCAUCCGGCCUACACCCAGAAGACUUCACAAUUAACGUGACACUUUGA